This is a non-coding RNA of Caenorhabditis brenneri, 114 nucleotides long. NCBI's taxonomy places the organism in Eukaryota, Metazoa, Nematoda, Chromadorea, Rhabditida, Rhabditidae. The record is from Rfam.
UCCAGAUACGGAGACCUCGUCCCUCUGAGUCCCUUCGGAAAGGUCGUUGGCAGUAUGUGUGCCCUGAUUGGUGUGCUCACGUUGGCACUUCCAGUACCGAUUAUUGUUAGUUUU